UUCUCUCACCAGUGUGAAAAACUAUAUCCUGCAUUGGUGAUCUACUGGAAAAAAAUACCAAGACAGUUUAAUAGAGAAAGUGAUGGCAUGUAAACAGCCUAUUGCAAUUCCUGGGGAUGGAAGACACGAUUCCAUGGGACAUAGUGCUAAAUAUUGUGCAUAUACAACAUUUUGUUGCACAGUACCUCAAAUCAUUAGUUUUUCACUUGUGCAGGUACAUUUCUUAAGUCACAUCUAAAUUUGCAUUCUCGAGUACACUUGGAUCAAUCGGAUGUGCAAGUCUAAGUGUCUGUUAAGGUGUCUCGUACAGUUCAAUAAUAUAUUAUACAAAAUGAAACACUCCCUAACAAUCGAGUCAGUUGAACAUUGGACAAGAUUGCGGAAAGAGCUUGAUCUAAGCUUGCGGACACUUUGCAUACUGCUUAAAAAGUAAAGAUUACACAGGCAGAACAAAAAGACUUUAUCGUCCUUUUUAUAAAUGAUGAAGUCUAUACCGAUAGCAUUAUGUUGUGUUUUUGCUUUGAGUAUGCAGCUGGUUGAAUCUGACGACAAAGUUGAUGAUAUCAUGAAAACACGACUACCUAGAGGUCUUCCCAAGAAAUCAAAUGUUUG
Molecule: long non-coding RNA, 612 nt
Organism: Xenia sp. Carnegie-2017
Lineage: Eukaryota; Metazoa; Cnidaria; Anthozoa; Malacalcyonacea; Xeniidae
Exons: 3
Source: RefSeq, a predicted model, not a curated record